Molecule: small nuclear RNA, 117 nt
Organism: Rhodamnia argentea
Lineage: Eukaryota; Viridiplantae; Streptophyta; Magnoliopsida; Myrtales; Myrtaceae
Product: U5 spliceosomal RNA
Exons: 1
Source: RefSeq, a predicted model, not a curated record
GGCGGUGGGUGUGCACAGAGCGAACUAUUCUUUGGCCUUUUACUAAAGAAUACCGUGUGCAUGCUGAUGCUCAGUAGUGUACGCCACCCUUUGAAAGGCUCUCGCCUAUACUGGCCU